RNAcentral lists this ribosomal RNA (579 nucleotides) under uncultured Bacillota bacterium. RNAcentral describes it as "bacterial SSU rRNA". The record is from RNAcentral. Lineage: Bacteria; Bacillati; Bacillota.
GAGUUUGAUCCUGGCUCAGGACGAACGCUGGCGGCACGCCUAACACAUGCAAGUCGAACGGAGAUAUUUUGGUUUACUGAGAUAUCUUAGUGGCGGACGGGUGAGUAACACGUGAGCAACCUGCCUCUGAGAGAGGGAUAGCUUCUGGAAACGGAUGGUAAUACCUCAUAACAUAACGAAGCCGCAUGACUUUGUUAUCAAAGAUUUAUCACUCAGAGAUGGGCUCGCGUCUGAUUAGAUAGUUGGUGAGGUAACGGCCCACCAAGUCGACGAUCAGUAGCCGGACUGAGAGGUUGAACGGCCACAUUGGGACUGAGACACGGCCCAGACUCCUACGGGAGGCAGCAGUGGGGAAUAUUGCACAAUGGGGGAAACCCUGAUGCAGCGAUGCCGCGUGGAGGAAGAAGGUUUUCGGAUUGUAAACUCCUGUCUUAAAGGACGAUAAUGACGGUACUUUAGGAGGAAGCUCCGGCUAACUACGUGCCAGCAGCCGCGGUAAUACGUAGGGAGCGAGCGUUGUCCGGAAUUACUGGGUGUAAAGGGAGCGUAAGCGGKAUGGCAAGUCAGAUGUGAAAAACU